RNAcentral lists this ribosomal RNA (253 nucleotides) under uncultured bacterium. RNAcentral describes it as "partial 16S ribosomal RNA". It matches the Rfam family "Bacterial small subunit ribosomal RNA", at positions 524 to 776 of the family's 1533-position model. The record is from RNAcentral.
UACGGGGGGGGCAAGCGUUGUUCGGAAUUACUGGGCGUAAAGGGCUCGUAGGCGGCCAACUAAGUCGGAUGUGAAAUCCCCAGGCUUAACCUGGGAAUUGUAUCCGAUACUGGAUGGCUUGAAUCCGGGAGAGGGAUGCGGAAUUCCAGGUGUAGCGGUGAAAUGCGUAGAUAUCUGGAGGAACACCGGUGGCGAAGGCGGCAUCCUGGACCGGCAUUGACGCUGAGGAGCGAAAGCCAGGGGAGCAAACGGG